AUAGCGCACGCCGAAAAGCUUACGAGUAGGCA
RNAcentral lists this non-coding RNA (32 nucleotides) under Kordia algicida OT-1. The record is from RNAcentral. Lineage: Bacteria; Pseudomonadati; Bacteroidota; Flavobacteriia; Flavobacteriales; Flavobacteriaceae.